This 397-nucleotide ribosomal RNA is filed under the name uncultured bacterium. RNAcentral's name for it is "bacterial SSU rRNA". It matches the Rfam family "Bacterial small subunit ribosomal RNA", at positions 28 to 429 of the family's 1533-position model. The record is from RNAcentral.
GACGAACGCUGGCGGCGUGCUUAACACAUGCAAGUCGAGCGGUAAGGCCCUUUCGGGGGUACACGAGCGGCGAACGGGUGAGUAACACGCGGGUGACCUGCCCUCAGCUCUGGGAUAAGCCUGGGAAACUGGGUCUAAUACUGGAUAUGACUCCACGGUGCAUGUCGUGGGGUGGAAAGCCUUGUGCGGCUGAGGAUGGGCCCGCGGCCUAUCAGCUUGUUGGUGGGGUGANGGCCUACCAAGGCGACGACGGGUAGCCGGCCUGAGAGGGCGACCGGCCACACUGGGACUGAGACACGGCCCAGACUCCUACGGGAGGCAGCAGUGGGGAAUCUUGCGCAAUGGGCGAAAGCCUGACGCAGCGACGCCGCGUGAGGGAUGACGGCCUCGGUGUAAC